UACGUAGGGGGCUAGCGUUGUUCGGCAUCACUGGGCGUAAAGCGCAUGCAGGCGGAUCGUUAAGUCGGGGGUGAAAUCCCGAGGCUCAACCUCGGAACUGCCUCCGAUACUGGCGAUCUCGAGUCCGGAAGAGGUGAGUGGAAUUGCGAGUGUAGAGGUGAAAUUCGUAGAUAUUCGCAAGAACACCAGUGGCGAAGGCGGCUCACUGGUCCGGUACUGACGCUGAGAUGCGAAAGCGUGUGGAGCAAACAGG
RNAcentral lists this ribosomal RNA (253 nucleotides) under uncultured bacterium. Its description in RNAcentral is "partial 16S ribosomal RNA". It matches the Rfam family "Bacterial small subunit ribosomal RNA", at positions 524 to 776 of the family's 1533-position model. The record is from RNAcentral.